CCUUUGUACACACCGCCCGUCGCUACUACCGAUUGAAUGGCUUAGUGAGGCUUUCGGACUGGCCCAGGGAGAGUGGCAACACUCACCCAGGGCCGGAAAGUUCGUCAAACUCGGUCAUUUAGAGG
Molecule: ribosomal RNA, 125 nt
Filed under: Hymenoscyphus sp.
Lineage: Eukaryota; Fungi; Ascomycota; Leotiomycetes; Helotiales; Helotiaceae
Description: partial small subunit ribosomal RNA
Rfam family: Eukaryotic small subunit ribosomal RNA
Source: RNAcentral